CCCUCCCCUCGUCGCGAAGCGAUGGUGACGUCACCGCGCGGCUGGUUCCCGGGGAGACGCGGCGCGGGGCGAGUGGAGACAGCGGCGCAGCAAUUGGAGAGUACAGCCAUGUCUUUAGCUGCAUGCAGUGAGGCAUGGGGCGUCUGCGAGAAUGCCGGCAAUUCACGGAGCAAGACCAGAGGUCGAGCCAUGCUGCCCACGUCUAGAGAGGUGGAGGUGAAUGUGAGUGUGCGCCACAUGUACCUGUACAGCCGCGAGGUGCGUGGGGUGGUGGCACGUCUCCGCGCCGAGUGUGGGUCACUGUCCGUGCACGCAGUUGCCUUGGCCCACACUCAAGGUGAUCUGAACAAGGCCUUGGGACACGUUCGUAAUGAGAAACAGGCAAAUGUGCAAGCUUCUAGCAUGCGAUCGCGACGACCUACACGUGAGGUGGUAAGUCUUGAAUAAUAAUAAUUUAGUUGACAGUAAUACCCCGGUUUAUGUCGGGGAUGCUUUCCUUAAAUGUGCGACAACGAAUACCGAAACGACGUAAAUCAACGCAAUUUUGCCACGAGGACUAAACAAUGCUGAAGCCGUGUUAAUGCGUGCAUCUUCAUCCUAGACGUAUCCGCAACAUUACAUUCAAUUACUAAAAAUACUACACUCAAUACUAGUUUCGGCAGUAAACGUUAAAACAUUAUUAGCAGUACAUUAUGAAAAUAAAAUCACUAAAAUAUCAUGCGUAAUUACUAUAUUGUACUCCAUAGUACAGAACAUUUCUUUAUGCGCGAUGCAAAGUAGUUUGUGUACAGGGUUAGGUGGAGGUGAAGGUUGAGAGGCGACAGUUACGAGAAAGGGCAGACGAUGCUGUCAGCGACAUGAGUGUGGGUUGAGGCAAUGCUAGUCGGGUAGCGGUGGUGUUGAUAAUGAAGUGACAACGUAUUUUCUAAACGAUAUAAAAGGGGGAGGUGUAAAAUCGCAAGGCUUACAGCGCAAGGCUAUCACGAAGGCGCAGUACAGCACAUACAGUAGUCUGCAGUAGCUACAUGUUGUGAUGUUGCUUUGUGGAAUGCCAAUUGAGGAAUUUGUCGGUCAUUUGUGAAUUUGGAAAAUUUGAACCGUGACAGCAACACACAUUGGCCUACUCUUAUCAAACUAGCUUCUUUGCCCAUCCUAGGACGGAAGCUGUAAUAUUUACGAAAAAAAUUAGCAGAGUAUAAUUGUAUCUUGUGUUAAUUGAAUGGCAGUGAAUCUUGCACGAAAUUAUGUCAUAAAACACUUCACUGCAUUUCACUGUAGCACUGUAUAUAACUGACCUUCAAUUUGUUCUAAUUCACUGCUCUGAUACUUUAUUAUUUUCUGCUUUCGGUCGCUGGGGUGCAAAUAAAUUGGAUUGCAAUACAAUAUCUGGAAAAUCACCGAGAAAUGUCUAUUUAACCAAAAUGUAGAAGCAUAAAUUAGACUUAUCUUAGGAAAAAAUAUAGACCCCAAAUCCAAUUUUUUUCCACGUAGAAUUAUUUAUUAGAUUCAUUUUAAAUAAAGAAACGUGAAACUUAAAGCGAAUUUGCAACAAAUAAUAAUUCUGCUCUACCUUAAUGACGGGGGUGCGGCAUGUGGAGUGACGUCACGCGCGGGACACAAACUCCCUAAUUAAUAAUCAUGAGCGGAUGACGUCACUGAUGUGGACCACGCCACCCACCCCCUCAUUAAUAAUCAAGAGUGGAUGAUGUCAUUCCACAUGGAGUUCCCCCCCUGAUCAAUAAUCAUGAGCAGAUUCCGUCACUCCACAUGGAGCUCCCCCCCUUCAUCAAUAAUCAUGUAAUGAUGACGUCACUCAUGUGGACCCUGGCCCCACCCCCUCAUUAAUAAUCAUGAGCGGGUCUUUAUUUUCGAUUGAAUAUUUCAGAUUAACUGCAAUACACCCGUCCUUGGACGGGCUAUAGGCUACUUUUAUAAUAAUUUAGAAGCAAAAAUUAGACUUACCUUUUGUUUCAAGUGCUGAAGAAAUAAAUAAAGACACCAAAUACACUUUGUUGCUGCGUAGAAAUAUUGAUUUGAUUACAUUUCAAUAAAGAAACGUCAAAUUUAAAGUUAAUUUGCGUAAAACAAAUUAUUUCCAAUCAACCUGCGGGAAUGUAAAAAUCCACCCGCUCAUGAUUAUGAAUGAGGGGGGGGGUGUCUCUUUUGCAGUGACGUCACGUACGGAUGUAGCACUGCUGCGUAUAUUUAUUUUUUACUUUCUGUAAAGAAACGUCAUAUUUGAAGCAACUUUGCGAAAAAACUAUCUUUCCACUCGGCCUUCCGCGUGAGUGUAAAAAUCCACCCGCUCAUGAUUAUUUUAUUAUUAAUGACGGGGGAGGGGGUAUGUGGAGUGACGUCACGUGCAUUACACACAUUUCUGGGCUAUUAUAGUAGUAAUGCCAUCAGCGGGAAUUGUAACGUCCACUGUGAAGCGUCACUUUCAUGUAAAUUGCAUCAUCAGAAUCGCUGAUUUAGAUCUCUGUAUCGCGAGAAGAAAGCUCAAAGUGGUCCAUGGGCGACCGGGAUUUUGCUUUGGUGGCCAUUGGACUUUGGAACUCUCUGUCAAAGUUGGUCAGGGAGUCUAGUUCAGUUUGGGCCUUCAGGUCCCCCCUAAAAAUAUUUAUCUUUUAAGAAAGCAUCUCGAAUUUUAACUUAGCCACUUCUUACCCCCCCCCCCCCCCAUUGUAAGGCACCUUGAUGUUUUAUGCAUGCUGUCAGUAAAAGAGAAAAAGCAGAAAGAGAAGUGUUGUGAGCUGCGGUCCUGAGUGAAUGUGUGUACAGGUGAGCGUGUAGCUCGGUGAGUGAGCGUGUGGGUGAUUUGCCACAGUGUAAUGGUUAGCACACUGGAUUUGCGAUGAUCCUAAGGUCACCAGUUUGUUUCUAUGGCAGUUGAAACAACGGUGCAAGUCUCUCGAAUUCCCCCCCUCCACUUGUGUAAGAACUCAUCAUUCAUUCGUCGAAAAUGUAAAAAAACAAUUCAGGACCUGACUGUGACUCAGUGUGGAUUUCCUGGACUAAGUCUAUUUUAUUAUUAUAAAGAAUUAAAGGGGCUGUUUGAUGACACGACUAGAGAGCUGGCUUGCACUGCAGGGAACUUAAUAUUCAACUUGGAUUCCGCAACCCUCAAUGGCCAUUUUAAGUUAAAUUUGUGCAUGUAAGACUCGCACAAACAACCAUACCCAGAAACCCAUAGACCCCAACAGAGACCCAUACAUUCCUACAGACACUCAGACUCACACAGCGACCCCAUACUCACAGAGACCGAUAGACAUGCACAGAGACCCAUAGCCUCACACAGAGAUCCAUACACUCAAAGGCCCAAAAACUCACACAGAAAUCUAUAGAUUCGCACAGAGGUCAAUAGAAUUAGAAUUUGAAUAUUUAUUUAUACUGGAUGCAUCUGAUGAGCUAU
This is a long non-coding RNA of Lethenteron reissneri (Far Eastern brook lamprey), 3412 nucleotides long. RefSeq lists it as uncharacterized. The record is from RefSeq and is a predicted model, not a curated record. Lineage: Eukaryota; Metazoa; Chordata; Hyperoartia; Petromyzontiformes; Petromyzontidae.